GUUUGGAGGUGAAAAACACUCUUCAAGGCACUAGAGGCUGAAAAUAGGCUAUUUCCCUUUAAUAGGCUAUUCUUAGUAGUUAAUUAGGCUUCUCCUUCAUUAAAAUAACUUUCUUUUCUAUUUAAAGUAAUUUGAAUUCAAAAACUAGCCAUUUCUGGAUGUUGGGGAUGGAUUUCAGUUGUUUGAAUGACUUUUGGAUGCUUCUCUAACAGAUUUUGCACAUUCUGUUAUGGCUGUCAGAAACAGUCAACUCGAACAGUCCACGAGCGGCAC
This 273-nucleotide long non-coding RNA is filed under the name Elaeis guineensis (African oil palm). RNAcentral describes it as "long non-coding RNA (EGUI_LNC035642)". Lineage: Eukaryota; Viridiplantae; Streptophyta; Magnoliopsida; Arecales; Arecaceae. The record is from RNAcentral.